This 664-nucleotide ribosomal RNA is filed under the name uncultured Bacilli bacterium. Its description in RNAcentral is "bacterial SSU rRNA". It matches the Rfam family "Bacterial small subunit ribosomal RNA", at positions 70 to 707 of the family's 1533-position model. Lineage: Bacteria; Bacillati; Bacillota; Bacilli. The record is from RNAcentral.
AAUUUGGUGCUUGCACCAGAUGAAACUAGAUACAAGCGAGCGGCGGACGGGUGAGUAACACGUGGGUAACCUGCCCAAGAGACUGGGAUAACACCUGGAAACAGAUGCUAAUACCGGAUAACAACACUAGACGCAUGUCUAGAGUUUAAAAGAUGGCUCUGCUAUCACUCUUGGAUGGACCUGCGGUGCAUUAGCUAGUUGGUAAGGUAACGGCUUACCAAGGCAAUGAUGCAUAGCCGAGUUGAGAGACUGAUCGGCCACAUUGGGACUGAGACACGGCCCAAACUCCUACGGGAGGCAGCAGUAGGGAAUCUUCCACAAUGGACGCAAGUCUGAUGGAGCAACGCCGCGUGAGUGAAGAAGGGUUUCGGCUCGUAAAGCUCUGUUGGUAGUGAAGAAAGAUAGAGGUAGUAACUGGCCUUUAUUUGACGGUAAUUACUUAGAAAGUCACGGCUAACUACGUGCCAGCAGCCGCGGUAAUACGUAGGUGGCAAGCGUUGUCCGGAUUUAUUGGGCGUAAAGCGAGUGCAGGCGGUUCAAUAAGUCUGAUGUGAAAGCCUUCGGCUCAACCGGAGAAUUGCAUCAGAAACUGUUGAACUUGAGUGUAGAAGAGGAGAGUGGAACUCCAUGUGUAGCGGUGGAAUGCGUAGAUAUAUGGAAGAAC